UGGCAGCGGCGGACGGGUGAGUAACGCGUAGGUAUCUAUCUCCGGGUGGGGGGACAACCAUGGGAAAACUAUGGCUAAUACCGCAUGAUGCCCGAGGGCCAAAGGCGCGAGUCGCCGGGAGAGGAGCCUGCGUACGAUUAGCUAGUUGGCGGGGUAAUGGCCCACCAAGGCGACGAUCGGUAGCCGGCCUGAGAGGGCGGACGGCCACACUGGGACUGAGACACGGCCCAG
This 231-nucleotide ribosomal RNA is filed under the name uncultured bacterium. Its description in RNAcentral is "partial 16S ribosomal RNA". It matches the Rfam family "Bacterial small subunit ribosomal RNA", at positions 90 to 334 of the family's 1533-position model. The record is from RNAcentral.